Long non-coding RNA from Solanum lycopersicum (tomato), 1213 nucleotides. RefSeq lists it as uncharacterized. NCBI's taxonomy places the organism in Eukaryota, Viridiplantae, Streptophyta, Magnoliopsida, Solanales, Solanaceae. The record is from RefSeq and is a predicted model, not a curated record.
UCUGAUAUUUACAAUUCACUUAUUUUGAUAUAAUAAAAUACGAAAAAUGAAAUGUUGUAAAAAUAAUUGAUUAUAAUAUUAAUAAAAUGUAAUAGGAAUGCUAACAAAACCAUUAUGUUGGCAUAGGGAAAAAAACUGUUUUUUUUUUUUUAAUUUUCCAAAAUAAAAAAAAAAUCAGUAAAACUGGCUUUAUUUUUGGAAACAAAAAAGCUGCCAAGUAAGUAUGUAGGAAACAAGUAAUAUAUGAGUUGAAUCAUUAUAUAAAGGGUAAGGAUGUAUGGACUUAAAAGUCUGACUGAAGAACAAGAAGAGAUGCACAAAAAAGUCAUUGUUAUCAAUUAGUUCCAAAGAACAAAUUGAUGUUAACAAAGUGGGCACACGCUCGUUGGGACGAUUGGAGAUUUUUCAUUACCGCGAUGGAAUGUUUUGUUUGGCACUCUAAAUGCCAUACCAAAAUCAAUCUCCCUUAUUACCGUUACUAUAUUACAAUGACUGGAAAACAAAGCUGCACAAGUGUGUUCUUUCCCCUUCAACACAUGAAUAUUAUUCUGACUGAUUGUUCAACUCAGUCACCUGUGUGUACAGAUAAACAGGUUGCGAAUACUUGCACUCUCCAGUUCAAUCAAGUUAUUUAGGUAUCUCAGUGAUAUAUUGUCACUACACAAUAUGAGAGACUCUCCUACUGGACUGUAUUUCAAUGUUUUUUUAGUUACAAGUGAAUCAAUAUAUGAGAGAAUAGCUCCUGGUCUAUCAAAUUGUAUAGAUCAUGCGAGAAAACAUUUAAGGUACCUGUGACCACGUCUGGGGAUGUCUCUGAAUCUUGUCGACUGGCUAGCCUGUAUAUACAGUUUGGGUCCGCACUUGAACCAAACUCUCUAAGGUGCUGAUGAUGAACAGGCUGCUGACCCUGCAGGCUGUUACAACAAUCUUCUUUAGAGAAAAUUUGAGGUACUUACGACACUCACAAGGGACGGAAAAGUUGAUGAAGCAGCGAUUAGUCAUUUGUUCAGAAGCCAUCAAAUUCAGAGCAUUUUAAAGGGAACAGAAGAAGCGGAAGACGAACUGAGAAAAACAGAAGAAGAUUUGGGUAAAAACAUACUUAAGUUUGUAACGCCAAUCUAAAGGAUGAAAGAGAUUGCCAGUAUUGUUUGAAAGUCGACAAACUGAGAGAUAAAUUUAUCGAAACAUAAGCAAAUCAUUUACAAGAAAAAAA